Molecule: ribosomal RNA, 429 nt
Filed under: uncultured Lactobacillus sp.
Lineage: Bacteria; Bacillati; Bacillota; Bacilli; Lactobacillales; Lactobacillaceae
Description: bacterial SSU rRNA
Rfam family: Bacterial small subunit ribosomal RNA
Source: RNAcentral
UAGGGAAUCUUCCACAAUGGACGCAAGUCUGAUGGAGCAACGCCGCGUGAGUGAAGAAGGGUUUCGGCUCGUAAAGCUCUGUUGUUGGUGAAGAAGGACAGGGGUAGUAACUGGCCUUUAUUUGACGGUAAUCAACCAGAAAGUCACGGCUAACUACGUGCCAGCAGCCGCGGUAAUACGUAGGUGGCAAGCGUUGUCCGGAUUUAUUGGGCGUAAAGCGAGCGCAGGCGGAAGAAUAAGUCUGAUGUGAAAGCCCUCGGCUUAACCGAGGAACUGCAUCGGAAACUGUUUUUCUUGAGUGCAGAAGAGGAGAGUGGAACUCCAUGUGUAGCGGUGAAAUGCGUAGAUAUAUGGAAGAACACCGGUGGCGAAGGCGGCUCUCUGGUCUGUUACUGACGCUGAGGCUCGAAAGCAUGGGUAGCGAACAGG